GUAACUCAGUUUUAGGAAGAUUAUCUUGUUGCACCCAGAGUUGUUCAUAAAUGAAGUCUGUCAAGGGAUUUUCCUGCUUUCAGUUGUUCCCCAGAAAUGUCAGGGUUAAUAAAUAGAAUGAUCUUUCAAAAAAUAUAUUUUUAUUAAAGUUCUUUUUCUUUCUGUACUAUCCCAAGGUAGUAUAGGACUUGUACUAAGUGUGCCCCUGGGAGUGGUGCUUACAUUAGAAGACAAGUUGUCAGAGGAGAGCAUAACUCCUCAGGGAUUUUUCCAUUUUCCUCUCUGGCAUAGAUUUAGGAGUCUGAAGUGGUAACUAAGGUCACCACUUUGUUCACAAAAUGGCACUGAGGUGACAGGAUCCUUUCAAACCAUCUGAAUGAGUAAAUUACUGAUCACUUCUGUACCAACAGAAAAUAAAUGGUCUUUUUAGAUAAGAACCAGCAUUUCUUAUCUUCUUGGAUUAAUGCCCCAUAGGUAGCACUGUUCACUGCGUAUACCCUAAGAACCUCUGGGCAAAGGUGCCAGGCAACACAGUAGUGACUGUAGCUUAGGUACAGAAUGAUUGUGUAGUGCUGGCGUCAGUCAGCAAGCAUCCCUUACCUGCAGAGUACUGCUGCACAGUAAUUACAGGGUAGGCUAUAGCUGAGGAGUGUCUUUGAUGUGUAUGACCAGGCUGUGGGUGUGAUGCUCUCAACCACUGUUGCAGCACGUAUGAGAGCAAUUACGUUAGCUGGGCUGUGCUGCACCCAUGAUUUUCCUCCCUAAUGCCAUAGUCACUUGAUGUAACUGCAAACAGCCCCAUCCACUAGAUAUCUGUAUUCCUCAAACUACUGAUGAUGUGGAAUGCAUACCCAGGUGGAUUUGGGUGGCUUGCUGUCCUUUCUUCUGAGAGAGGGAAUAAAAUACUAAAGAGUUUUUUACUUCUGCAGGAAACAUAACUAUAGUAACAAACCCCAAAUUAUAAAAAAGUAUCUUUUGUGUUUGAGGUCCUUAUUGUCAAUGUUCUGUGUUUCUAAUAAAAAAUUGAGACAAAGUAAAUCAUUAACUAUAGUAGCUGAAGUCCUCUUUGCAAGCAGACAGUGCAAACAAUUGCCAUUGAUACAUGCUCGGGUAUUUUUAGAGCGCACCAUCAUUCAUCUUUCACCCUCAGUAGGUUUCAAUUAAAUGGGAGAAUAACUCAAGAGUAGCUGUGCUUGGCUAACAAGAUUUCAGUUAUAAUAAGGUUGAAGCCCGAAAGCACCUUUGUGUGGUCAAAAGAUGGGGAAUCCAGCUGUUUUAAGAGUCAUAUUCAAAAGGCUCUGAUUUAGAUUGUUCAAAAUGUGCUAGAUUGUUUUCUUAGCACAUUGUAGUUUGUAGUUUAAAACAAACAACUUUUUCUGAGGAGAUUUAACAUAAACUGUUAUAUACCAAGGAAGUCUUUAUUUUGACUUGUUUACUAUAUAUCAAUGUUAAUAUGCUCUGUUUGGUUUUUUUUUAAUGUAGGUAUGUUAAAUAAGGAAGGAUGCUGGAUUAAAUUCAAGUGACAUAACUGGCUGUUGCUUCAACAGUUGUACCUUCCAUCUUUUCUUGCAUGAGACUCUAACUUUAGAAAGUUAUAAAGGUAUAAAGGGAGAAAUUAUCCUAUGAUUUUCAAUUGAAAAUAUGCAGCUAGAAUAAGUAUGUAGCAGCCCUUUUCCAGCACCUAUUGAAAUACAAAGGAAGCAUCUGAACUAAGUGAGAUUUCUCUGAUGCUGGUGCAUUUCUGAUGGUUAGAUAUCUAGAUAUCUACUAGAUAUCCAUAAUGUAGUGUUUCCAGCCAAAAGAAUGAUAAACUUCACAAAACUUAUUUUUUGCUAUUGAAAAGUCUAGGAGCUCUUCAGCUGUGUGAAUCACAGAAUGGUUUGGGUUGGAAGGGACCUUAAAGAUCAUCUAGUUCCAACUCCCCUGCCAUGGGCAGGGACACCUUCCACUAGACCAGCUUGAUCAAAGCCCUGUCCAACCUGGCCUUGAACACUGCCAGGGAUGGAGCAUUCACCACUUCCUUGGGCAGCCUGUUCCAGUGCCUCACCAUCCUCACGGUAAAGAAUUUCUUCCUUAUAUCUAACCUAAAUCUUCCUUGUUUAAGCUUGAAUCUAUUACUUGUUGUCUUGUCACUCAGUCCCUGAUGAAGAGUCUCUCUCUGGCAUCCUUGUGGGCCCCCUUCAGAUACUGGAAGGCUGCUAUGAGGUCUCCACGCAGCCUUCUCUUCUCCAGGCUGAACAGCCCAAAUUUUCUCAGCCUGUCUUUGUACAGGAGGUGCUCCAGCCCUCUUAUCAUCCUUGUGGCCUUCCUCUGGACUUGCUCCAACAGCUUCAUGUCCUUAUGUUGAGAAUGCACAACUGCACACAGUACUCCAAGUGGGGGUCUCAUGAGAGCAGAGUAGAGGGGCAUAAUCAGCUCCUUUAACCUGCUGGUCAUGUUCCAAGAUAUGGUUGGCUUUCUGGACUGUGGGUGCACACUGCCACUGUAGUACUGCCCUUGCUCUAGCACAGAUCGUUGUCAUAUAGGGUGCUGCAGUUUAUUAAGAGGAGUGUUUAAAGUCUGAAGUUAAGAAACUGGAGGUUGUACCAGCUUUUUUGUUGAAUAGCAAAGAAUGAUAUUGUUAUGAGAAGUACAAGCAAUAUUGUCAAGUUGUAGAUAUGCAACGAUAAAAUUGAGCAAUAGUUUAUGUGACUUAAUUAGAAAUAUUCCCAGGAUAGAUUGAUUCAAGAUCAGUUUGCUUUCUGUAUUCCUGACAUUUUCACUGUAGGCUCUUGCUAUUUGUGGGCUGGCGAUGAUUCAUGCAUUAAUCACUAGUCCACACUUACACUGCCUGCGCAAACUCAACAGCUGCUUUCCUGCAAAGCCCAGUGAGCUGUUCCUCUGCCCUAAACUGACUGGGAUGAAGAGUAGGCAGGACCUUCCUUCCUUUGGUGCCUUGAUUUGUUGUUUUGUGGUUUUUUGACUUUUUUCUCUGUUCCUACGUCCCUCGUGUUUCAUUCUUUCAUCUGCAUUCCUCCAAGACCACAGGAGCAGAUGAUGCUGCAGCACAGUUGUCGCUCUGAUUGCCAUCCCCGUGCAUGUCGGCUUGCACACAGUGAAGCAGUCCUCUUGCUGCUUCAUCAAGGACAGCUCAGUGUCUCGUGCUGGAUGCGUCUGUCUCAUCACUGACACUGCAAAUCCAGCAGCUGCUGAACACUUCUUAAGGAGAAAUGGGGUUUUAUAGUGUUCGUUCCACACUAAUGAAGUCGGGAUUCAUAGCAUGGUAUGAACUUAACAUGGUGAAAAUUUAGCAGUUAUACAGGUCGUAUUUCCUACUGUUUGUUCACCCUCCUUAUUCUCUCUUACUUAAACUGAUUUGUAAUCUCUUCAUUCCUAGAAUCUCUCUUCCAUUUAAUGCUUUCCGGUGUCUCUGCACUGUCUUCUGUUUUUCUCUGUAUCAUCUGUAGUGGCCAGGUCUGUCACAGUUUCCUUUAGGUCAACAACAUUUUUCUUAAAUGUUUUUCAGUCUUUUCUUUCUUCUGUAUUUAUUUUUAAAACUGGUUUGAUGUGGGGUUUGUUUUUUUUUUUUUCCUCUUUUGCUGCCUAUUACUUGUUUAUUUUUAGCUUUAAAAUUGCCAAGACUUUUAAUAGCUAUCAAACAAGGGAGUCAGCAUGCACACUGCAUGUUUUCAUUCUAGCACAAUUUCCAUUGGUAGUGUUAGUUCAAGUAGCCGUGGACUUUAUUCCCUGCCUCUACCUUGUUUUCUAUACUGCACUAGAAAUCUUCAAGAAAGUGUAAGCACGUUGCUCUUGGGCAAACAAGUGCUUGGGUAAAAUGUAAACAAGUUCCAGAUGUAAAUUCAAAUCGAAGGAAACUUUGCAAAUUGAAGCUUCCAUGCAGAAGAGGAUCAACUGUUUCUAGUACCGCUCUGAACUGCUAUAAGUAAUAUCUUUGUGAAUAUAUGUUUCUUAAUGAACAUUGAGCUGGACAGAAGGGCAAAGGUAGUACAGUUUUGGUUUGAAACACCAGCUUUCUACACUAUCUGUUCUCAAGAGAUUUCUCUUUUCUGCCUAUCUCUGGUUUCAAGUCUAGACUCUUCAAACAACUGGGUAAAGUGUAUGAAUUCCUGCUUAAGUUCUGUCUCCCUUUAGUGCUGGGGGAGGAUAUAUUGUUGCUAAGGGGAAAGAAACAAGGGAAAAUGCUUGCCGAGUGCCAAAGACAUUGUUUCCACUGUGUUCCUACAACUGAAGGUCCUUCUGUCAAAGUCCAGCUGACAAGAGUAAAAUUUUUCCUAAUAAUUGUCUUAAUACAAUUGUAUGCACCAUAGUUUUGGAGUGAAAAGUUUUAAAAUUGGGAUUUGCUUUUUCAGAACUUCUUGGGGAGAGAAGCUGGCUAAUGGAUAAUCCUUUGUCUGGACCUUUUUGCUAUAUCAGCAGUUGAAUGGAUUAGCGUGUUUGACUCUAAAGCUUAGUUGCUGGAGAUAGAAUGCUUUAUGUUUUGCAACUGCUUUUGUAUUUUAUCAGGGUUUCUGCAAGACUGAAGUUGUUGGAAAUGCAGGCUGAUAAAGUGGUAGCAUGAAAAUCCUGCAGGCCUUCUGCAGUGAGGUUUGCUUUGGCUGUGUGUGUGGUGACAAGUUGAGAACCAGAAAAAAAGAAAGAACUUGAAAGACCUUGGUAUGAUUUCAGGUAUAGGAGUGCUGUCCAGUUAGCCCUUACUGCAAAUGAAGUAAGAGAGAACCUGCUUUUUGGCUGUAUCCAGCCUGCUGCAACGCAUUCCCUUAGUGAAGCUCCACUGGCAGUGGAUGCUGGUCUGCUGUCAGAAAGGAUAAUCCUGUGCUCUUCUUGCUGUAUGUUCUUUCCCUGUUAAGUCACUACUAGUGUAGUCAGUUGUACUGGUAGGCUGGAGGGGAGUUAGUGAGGGAAAAGCUGUGCUUUGGUCAGCAGCUCAGUCUGAGGUCAGCUUAAACCAGUCAUGAAC
Long non-coding RNA from Strigops habroptila (Kakapo), 4957 nucleotides. RefSeq lists it as uncharacterized. The transcript has 2 exons. NCBI's taxonomy places the organism in Eukaryota, Metazoa, Chordata, Aves, Psittaciformes, Psittacidae. The record is from RefSeq and is a predicted model, not a curated record.